GCAGCCUCGCUGGCAGGCAGCUCCAGAGUGUGGCUCUCCCUAAGCAGGUGGGUUUCAGUUCACUCUCCCUGGAAGAAGUCCUGGAGCUGGAGCAGUCCAGGGGCCUCCAGCGGGACAGUUG
Molecule: microRNA precursor, 121 nt
Filed under: Mus caroli (Ryukyu mouse)
Lineage: Eukaryota; Metazoa; Chordata; Mammalia; Rodentia; Muridae
Description: miRNA (MGP_CAROLIEiJ_G0007214.1)
Source: RNAcentral